UGUAAUUCAGUUGCAGAGUACUUGCCUUGCAUGCAUGAGGCCCUGGGUUCAAGCCCCAGCA
This 61-nucleotide transfer RNA is filed under the name Cavia porcellus (domestic guinea pig). It matches the Rfam family "tRNA", at positions 6 to 65 of the family's 71-position model. From Rfam's summary of the family: Transfer RNA (tRNA) molecules are approximately 80 nucleotides in length. Their secondary structure includes four short double-helical elements and three loops (D, anti-codon, and T loops). Further hydrogen bonds mediate the characteristic L-shaped molecular structure. tRNAs have two regions of fundamental functional importance: the anti-codon, which is responsible for specific mRNA codon recognition, and the 3' end, to which the tRNAs corresponding amino acid is attached (by aminoacyl-tRNA synthetases). tRNAs cope with the degeneracy of the genetic code in two manners: having more than one tRNA (with a specific anti-codon) for a particular amino acid; and 'wobble' base-pairing, i.e. permitting non-standard base-pairing at the 3rd anti-codon position. Lineage: Eukaryota; Metazoa; Chordata; Mammalia; Rodentia; Caviidae. The record is from Rfam by way of RNAcentral.